Molecule: ribosomal RNA, 512 nt
Filed under: uncultured bacterium
Lineage: Bacteria
Description: bacterial SSU rRNA
Rfam family: Bacterial small subunit ribosomal RNA
Source: RNAcentral
CUGGCGGCGUGCCUAAUACAUGCAAGUCGAACGCACUCUCGUUUAGAUUGAAGGAGCUUGCUCCUGAUUGAUAAACAUUUGAGUGAGUGGCGGACGGGUGAGUAACACGUGGGUAACCUGCCCUAAAGUGGGGGAUAACAUUUGGAAACAGAUGCUAAUACCGCAUAAAACCUAACACCGCAUGGUGUAGGGUUGAAAGAUGGUUUCGGCUAUCACUUUAGGAUGGACCCGCGGUGCAUUAGUUAGUUGGUGAGGUAAAGGCUCACCAAGACCGUGAUGCAUAGCCGACCUGAGAGGGUAAUCGGCCACACUGGGACUGAGACACGGCCCAGACUCCUACGGGAGGCAGCAGUAGGGAAUCUUCCACAAUGGACGAAAGUCUGAUGGAGCAACGCCGCGUGAGUGAAGAAGGUUUUCGGAUCGUAAAACUCUGUUGUUGGAGAAGAAUGUAUCUGAUAGUAACUGAUCAGGUAGUGACGGUAUCCAACCAGAAAGCCACGGCCAACUACGUG